UCGGGAAUUUUGGGCAAUGGGCGAAAGCCUGACCCAGCAACGCCGCGUGAGGGAUGAAGUAUUUCGGUAUGUAAACCUCGAAAGAAUGGGAAGAAUAAAUGACGGUACCAUUUAUAAGCUCCGGCUAACUACGUGCCAGCAGCCGCGGUAAUACGUAGGGAGCAAGUGUUGUUCGGAUUUACUGGGCGUAAAGGGCGCGUAGGCGGCGCGGUAAGUCACUUGUGAAAUCUCUGAGCUUAACUCAGAACGGCCAAGUGAUACUGCUGUGCUAGAGUGCGGAAGAGGCAACCGGAAUUCUUGGUGUAGCGGUGAAAUGCGUAGAUAUCAAGAGGAACACCUGAGGCGAAGGCGGGUUGCUGGGCCGACACUGACGCUGAUGCGCGAAAGCCAGGGGAGCAAACG
Molecule: ribosomal RNA, 402 nt
Filed under: uncultured bacterium
Lineage: Bacteria
Description: bacterial SSU rRNA
Rfam family: Bacterial small subunit ribosomal RNA
Source: RNAcentral